RNAcentral lists this ribosomal RNA (253 nucleotides) under uncultured bacterium. RNAcentral describes it as "partial 16S ribosomal RNA". It matches the Rfam family "Bacterial small subunit ribosomal RNA", at positions 524 to 776 of the family's 1533-position model. The record is from RNAcentral.
UACGAAGGGGGCUAGCGUUGCUCGGAAUUACUGAGCGUAAAGGGCGCGUAGGCGGACAGCUUAGUCAGAGGUAAAAGCCCAGGGCUCAACCUUGGAACUGCCUUUGAUACUGGCUGUCUUGAGUUCGGGAGAGGUGAGUGGAAUGCCGAGUGUAGAGGUGAAAUUCGUAGAUAUUCGGCGGAACACCAGUGGCGAAGGCGACUCACUGGCCCGAUACUGACGCUGAGGCGCGAAAGCGUGGGGAGCAAACAGG